AUGUCGUCGCUCGCCGUCGGCCGCGGGCCGGAGAGCGAGCUGUACUGGCUCGGGGGCCUCUUCACGGCCGCGGAACUGGCCGCCGCCGACCUGCUGCUAAAGCUACGCGGUGACGACGAGGAGGAGGUGGCGGCGUCCGCCGACACGUCAUCAUACUCGCGGCGGUUCCCGAGCUCCCGCCGCGAGGACCUCGCCGUGGUGGACGAGGAGUCGAAGGAGGAGCGGGCCUUCGAGGACGCCGCGACGGCGUCUGCGGCCACGCCGUUCUCCUCGAGGCGGUCUGCGAGCUCGUGCUGCCAGGUCCCCGUGGAGGCCGAGGAGGAGCCUCGGCCGAUCGUCAAGGAGACGGCGCCCUCGCUGGGGUCGAUGGAGCUGGACAGGAGGGCGAGGAAGAGGCACCGCCUGCUGUCUGAGCUGUACGCCGCCACGGCCCCGGUGACAUCAUCCUCCGCCUCCGCGAAGAAGAAGAUACGGAAGGUACACGGUGACGACGGCGCCGGCACCGUCGAGUCGUCGGUGGACCAGGAGACGAGGAACGGCGAGGGACUAGUAGCACAGAAGGGCUUCUAUGUAAUUACGCCGUGA
RNAcentral lists this ribosomal RNA (585 nucleotides) under Triticum aestivum (bread wheat). RNAcentral describes it as "partial small subunit ribosomal RNA". The record is from RNAcentral. Lineage: Eukaryota; Viridiplantae; Streptophyta; Magnoliopsida; Poales; Poaceae.